GAUGAACGCUGGCGGCGUGCCUAAUACAUGCAAGUCGAGCGAACAGAUAAGGAGCUUGCUCCUUUGACGUUAGCGGCGGACGGGUGAGUAACACGUGGGUAACCUACCUAUAAGACUGGGAUAACUUCGGGAAACCGGAGCUAAUACCGGAUAACAUUUGGAACCGCAUGGUUCUAAAGUGAAAGAUGGUUUUGCUAUCACUUAUAGAUGGACCCGCGCCGUAUUAGCUAGUUGGUAAGGUAACGGCUUACCAAGGCGACGAUACGUAGCCGACCUGAGAGGGUGAUCGGCCACACUGGAACUGAGACACGGUCCAGACUCCUACGGGAGGCAGCAGUAGGGAAUCUUCCGCAAUAGGCGAAAGCCUGACGGAGCAACGCCGCGUGAGUGAUGAAGGGUUUCGGCUCGUAAAACUCUGUUAUUAGGGAAGAACAAAUGCGUAAGUAACUGUGCACGUCUUGACGGUACCUAAUCAGAAAGCCACGGCUAACUACGUG
This 497-nucleotide ribosomal RNA is filed under the name uncultured bacterium. RNAcentral describes it as "partial 16S ribosomal RNA". It matches the Rfam family "Bacterial small subunit ribosomal RNA", at positions 28 to 507 of the family's 1533-position model. The record is from RNAcentral.